Molecule: small RNA, 28 nt
Filed under: Bombyx mori (domestic silkworm)
Lineage: Eukaryota; Metazoa; Arthropoda; Insecta; Lepidoptera; Bombycidae
Description: ovarian small RNA-32487
Source: RNAcentral
UGAUAGUGCGAAGAUAUUUGGUGAUAAC